Molecule: ribosomal RNA, 265 nt
Filed under: uncultured bacterium
Lineage: Bacteria
Description: partial 16S ribosomal RNA
Rfam family: Bacterial small subunit ribosomal RNA
Source: RNAcentral
GUCCACGCCGUAAACGAUGAGUGCUAGGUGCUGCGGGUAUUGACCCCUGCGGUGCCGUAGCUAACGCGUUAAGCACUCCGCCUGGGGAGUACGGCCGCAAGGCUAAAACUCAAAGGAAUUGACGGGGGCCCGCACAAGCGGUGGAGCAUGUGGUUCAAUUCGACGCAACGCGCAGAACCUUACCUGGGUUAAAUCCACUCGAACCUUGCAGAGAUGUUGGGGUGCUCUUCGGAGAGCGAGUGAGAAGGUGCUGCAUGGCUGUCGU